This 398-nucleotide ribosomal RNA is filed under the name uncultured bacterium. RNAcentral's name for it is "bacterial SSU rRNA". It matches the Rfam family "Bacterial small subunit ribosomal RNA", at positions 362 to 776 of the family's 1533-position model. The record is from RNAcentral.
UAUUGCACAAUGGGGGAAACCCUGAUGCAGCGACGCCCCGUGAGUGAAGAAGUAUUUCGGUAUGUAAAGCUCUAUCAGCAGGAACGAGACAAGACGGUACCUGACUAAGAAGCCCCGGCUAAAUACGUGCCAGCAGCCGCGGUAAUACGUAGGGGGCAAGCGUUAUCCGGAAUCACUGGGUGUAAAGGGAGCGUAGACGGCUGAGCAAGCCUGAAGUGAAAGGCGGGGGCCCAACCCCUGGACUGCUUUGGGAACUGUACGGCUGGAGUGCAGGAGAGGUAAGUGGAAUUCCUAGUGUAGCGGUGAAAUGCGUAGAUAUUAGGAGGAACACCAGUGGCGAAGGCGGCUUACUGGACUGUAACUGACGUUGAGGCUCGAAAGCGUGGGGAGCAAACAGG